This 3132-nucleotide long non-coding RNA is filed under the name Homo sapiens (human). Its description in RNAcentral is "non-protein coding LINC00661:19". Lineage: Eukaryota; Metazoa; Chordata; Mammalia; Primates; Hominidae. The record is from RNAcentral.
GACAAAGAUGAGCUGCGUGCCCAUAAUUCCACGUUUACGCUGACUCCUCCAGUGCCUCAUCAAUGAAGUAAGCAGGCAGCUACGUUCUGGAUGGCUAGCAUGUACCGAAGGCACAAAACCUCCAGAGUUGGCAGAGUUAAGUCCUGGCGUGCCCGAGGCUAUCCAGGGGAACACGCGGGACAGACAGCACCCUCAGCCUGUCCCCAUGACCCUCUGCUCCAGUCUGAGGGGCAGGACACCAUGAGACCUCUCAGACACAGAGUCCACCCUCGACAUGACCCGGAUGAAAGGCAGGAGUGUGUGCCCUGCUUUUGCCCUCGAAGCUCGCUGAAGGGGACCCAUCUCUGCAAGCCCACAGCCCUACCUGCAGCAUCCACAGCCUCAGAGAGCAGCGGGGCCCCUUACCCCUGAACCCCCUCCAAGAGCAUCAGGACAACAAGCCUUGAGCUGUGGAGACAAGAGAAUCAGUAUCCCUGGCCCAGGGAGGAUUCCAGGAGAGGACACGGGCAGGAGCCCUGGCCCAGAGCCAGAACCAAGAGUCCAGCCAGCGAAACUGGAACUAGGGUCCCCGGCACCCAGGACUCUGCGAGCAUCCCCCAACAGCAAGCCCUUCUGCAAGGGAGACGGGUUGGCCCACCCCAGGCUGUCCAGCUCCAGCAGCCUUGCAGGCAGCCUCUCCAGAAAAAGAGCCUGGUCCUCCCCACCCUGCUCCCCACAGGCUGUCCCUGACCCUGAGGCCCAGAGGCACAAGAGGACUUCUGUAGAGCCCAGGGGAGCAGGCUGUUCUCUUGGGGCCCCAGCGGGCUCAAGGUGUGGCCAGGCUGUCCCCAACUCAGGAUAGAUCAUAGGCUGUCCUGCGUACCUCCUCUGGAACUCCCUGCCCAAGCUCUGCCAUGGACCUGGACGUCAGGGGCCUGUGGUUUAACUUUGAAUAGGGAUUCUGGACCUUACACGUGUGCCCUGGACAGCCCCAGAACCAUGGGGUGGGGACCGACCCAGCAAGCCCACCGGGGCCCUGAAACCCGGCCCUGCCGGACACUGUGAUAAUAACCAAGAGGCAAGUCCAGAGACAUCCACUUUGCCCAAUGGCACCUGCAUCCAACUUCUCAGCAGGCAGUGACUGGCAUGGUGUGGGGGCAGCCGGGGCAGCACCUGGCCAGCACCUGGCCAGCUGCCCUGUAGCCCCCGAUGGCUCCAGUGCCUCUGGACCUCAUUUUCUACUUUCUACGGGGAAACCUACUCCCUCAGAGGCCACCAGAGGGAAGAGUGAGCAAGGCGUUCCUGCAGUCCCGACCAGCCAGCGGCAUGUCCUGUGGCCUCUGACUCAACCUAUGAGACAGAGCUCUGAUCCCAGGGCACACUUCCCAGGACACGGGGCCCAGCCUCAACCAGAGCCCUGUGAAGGGAGGGGCACCAGGAUGACCACAUGGGGGACCAUGGCGCUGCACACCUGGGCACUGUACUUCUCAUUGGAGAAUCCAGGCAAGAUCUUGAAGCAGGUGCAUGAGGUCCUGAGCCUGUGCAGCAAACAGCACUCAUCUGGGGUUGGCACGAAGGGGUCUACAGAGCCACGGCCACCGCAGCCUCUUCCCGGCCCCAUCUGUGCAGUGCAAGUGAUCCACGCCUGCUCCUAAACCCAGCCCAGCAAGCAGCAGCAGCCCGGGCCCCCAAGCCCGCCAGGCCAAUGUGCUGCCCAGAGGCUUCGAGGCCCUGCCCGCUGUACCUCCCACCACCUGGAAGCUGCCUCCUGACGCCUUCCAGCCACUGCUGCAGCCGCAACAGGUGUCGCGGCCAGUGCAGGCUUUCCAGACGGUGGCAGCGCCCAGCAGCCGUUGCCUCAGCUCUUUGGUGGCAGCCAGGCCAACAAGGGCAGCAACGAUGACUAGGAUGAUGAGUGAGCAAACAGCUCCACACUGGUGGACAGGCUGGGUGCGCACCCGGUGGUCCUCAAAGGCUCGCUGGGCCUGUACCACCGUUAUAAAUUUGAGAUCAUGAGAUUAUACCGUUUGCCUUCUUGCUUUUUGAAGUACGAGUAUUUUUAUGCACACUUUGUAGACUUCAAAAUCCAUGAAGAGUCUCAAAGAAGCCGGAUGGAUGGAGCCUGCUGCGGAUGCCUUUUACUCUCGUAGAUCAGGGUGAUUUACAUUCCACCUGUAGUCUGCUUGCAAACACACAGAGCAGCCUUGCAGCUUUGUGCCUUUAGACUCUUGGUUUUGCAUUUCUCCCUGCUCCCUUCUUCCUUCCAGUAAGCUGCAACUUUUCUGAUUGAAAGGGUGCAAGGCUAACACACGGAAUGACUAACUCAGGAUCACAUACUGGCAGUGGGAGAGGCAGGAGGAGCAGCUGCCAUCAAUUGCCAGGGCCAAGUGGAUGAUAGGAUGGAUGCUGGUGCAUGCGGAGGAGGCAGACGCAACGCUCAUCUCUAAUAAUGAUGUCUGUUCCCUCAGAGGCGGCUAGAGCAUCACCUCUUCACGCAAGUGUCUUGAAACUCAGCUUGAAGAUUUCAGCAAAUGUGUCUUACAGAGAAGAGAAGAGGGAGUCAGCCCAUCGGGAUUAAAAAUAUAGAGGCAGUGACAACACACACUCGGCUUCAGUUCUUAGGAGAGUUUUGGUUUUGAUUUUUUUUUUUUUUUUGGAGAAGAUUUUUUUUUUAAUGGAUCUACACUGUUAACUGAGACUCUGUUGAGAUUCACUGGUUUACUUAAAAACUUCUCAGGGAUGUCUGUAAAUUUCAGUGUUAUAUGUCAUGAAAACUGGUGUGGGCAGAUCUGUUGGUUGAAAUAAUUUCUACUUUUCAAUGUUUUUGUAGUUACUGAGCUAAAUCAUAUGGUAAUUGACAGUUUCUAAAUCUGUCACCUAAAGGUUAAAUUAUCUACUGUUGCCGUGAAGUCAAACUUACUGCUGCCUCAGAAAUCCCUGGGUACCGCGAUGGUCAUACAGAAGUAAGGAAGUCAAUUUGAAAUGUCAGUGAGUCAAAAUGAUUAAAGAGGCCAGGUGCAGUGGCUCACGCUUGUAAUCCCAGCACUUUGGGAGGCUGAGGCAGUGGAUUGCUUGAGUCCAGGAGUUUGAGAUCAACCUGUGCGACAUGGCAAAACCCUGUCUCUACAAAAAAUACAAAACAAAUUUAUCCAG